CGAAGGGUGCUAGCGUUGUUCGGAAUCACUGGGCGUAAAGCGCGCGUAGGCGGCUUUGCAAGUCAGAGGUGAAAUCCUGAGGCUUAACCUCAGAAUUGCCUUUGAAGCUGCAAGGCUGGAGUACUGGAGAGGAAUGCGGAAUUACUAAUGUAGCGGUGAAAUGCGUAGAUAUUAGUAGGAACACCGAUGGCGAAGGCAGCAUUCUGGACAGUUACUGACGCUGAGGCGUGAAAGCGUGGGGAUCAAACAGGAUUAGAUACCCUGGUAGUCCACGCUGUAAACGAUGGGUGCUAGCUGUUGUGGCGUCAUGCCACAGUGGCGUAGUUAACGCGUUAAGCACCCCGCCUGGGGAGUACGGUCGCAAGAUUA
This 369-nucleotide ribosomal RNA is filed under the name uncultured organism. RNAcentral describes it as "bacterial SSU rRNA". It matches the Rfam family "Bacterial small subunit ribosomal RNA", at positions 526 to 896 of the family's 1533-position model. The record is from RNAcentral.